Molecule: non-coding RNA, 124 nt
Filed under: human gut metagenome
Also listed under: 1 other name
Description: FMN riboswitch (RFN element)
Rfam family: FMN riboswitch aptamer (RFN element)
About the family: The RFN element is a highly conserved domain that is found frequently in the 5'-untranslated regions of prokaryotic mRNAs that encode for flavin mononucleotide (FMN) biosynthesis and transport proteins.
Source: RNAcentral
GUUUCGGGGCGAGGUGAAAUUCCUCACUGGUGGUGAUCCGGUUUUUCCGGCAAGUCCACGACCCGCUUUUUGCGGCUGAGCUGGUGUGAAUCCAGAACCAACGGUACAGUCCGGAUAAAAGAAG